This 271-nucleotide long non-coding RNA is filed under the name Elaeis guineensis (African oil palm). RNAcentral describes it as "long non-coding RNA (EGUI_LNC076884)". The record is from RNAcentral. Lineage: Eukaryota; Viridiplantae; Streptophyta; Magnoliopsida; Arecales; Arecaceae.
GUCUGGUUGGUUGCUUGUGCUCUACCCUGAGAAUCGAUUCCAACUUUUUGGCUUGAAAUUUAGUUCUUCUUUCCACAAGAUGAGCACCAAUUGAUUAUCUAUCUACUGUGGCUUGUGAAGAACAUGGUCGCUUGAUCUCGUUAAGUACUUACUUUUUGGGAGCCAUGGAGAUGGAGAGACACUUGACGAAAGAGAGGAUUUUAAGUGUGGAAGAAGGAAUGAGGCUUUUGAAAGCAAAAAGGGCUUGAUAUAUGAUGAAGCAUUUUUAGGA